RNAcentral lists this transfer RNA (57 nucleotides) under Neotoma lepida (desert woodrat). It matches the Rfam family "tRNA", at positions 8 to 63 of the family's 71-position model. Rfam says of the family: Transfer RNA (tRNA) molecules are approximately 80 nucleotides in length. Lineage: Eukaryota; Metazoa; Chordata; Mammalia; Rodentia; Cricetidae. The record is from Rfam by way of RNAcentral.
UAGCUCAGUGGUUAAGAGCACUGGCUGCUCCUCCAGAGACCUGGGUUCAAUACCCAG